GGGGUUAAAGAAGGAAUACAGUUUUCAACAAUCUUAAGUCAAAUAUCCUCAAAUUCACUCUGCAAUCGGAUGUCAUCUAGCCAGUCCUGAAUUAAAGUUUUCUGAAAGCUGUCAUGGGCAAGCGAGGCCAUACGAGGCGACGGCCUGGUGCUCAUUGUUCCUGCUGGUUAUUCGCAUGGCCUAAUUAUGUGAGGAAAACAGAAUGAAGGAAAAUGGAUGGGAAGCAACACCGCUCGCGGCCGAGUUCUUAGAAAAGCAGAAGUUCGUCGUCCCUCCUCGCACGCACAGCGAGUGCUGGGAAGUGGCCUGCACCGUACCCUGAUUUGGGGGCCUCGCGGUUCGCCUCCCGACAGUGCCCCAGUCACCCGCUGCUUGGCCGGCUCUGCUGCUCGCGGAGCCCCUGCCCGUGCCGCACGCCCGGGGCCGCGAAAGCCAGAGCCGCU
This is a long non-coding RNA of Pongo pygmaeus (Bornean orangutan), 443 nucleotides long. RefSeq lists it as uncharacterized. Lineage: Eukaryota; Metazoa; Chordata; Mammalia; Primates; Hominidae. The transcript has 3 exons. The record is from RefSeq and is a predicted model, not a curated record.